Molecule: ribosomal RNA, 253 nt
Filed under: uncultured bacterium
Lineage: Bacteria
Description: partial 16S ribosomal RNA
Rfam family: Bacterial small subunit ribosomal RNA
Source: RNAcentral
UACAAAGGUCCCAAACGUUGUUCGGAUUCACUGGACAUAAAAGAUGCGUAGGCGGUUUGAUAAGUCUGAUGUGAAAUCCCGCAGCUUAACUGCGGAACUGCAUUGGAAACUAUUUGACUAGAGGAAUGGAGGGGAGACUGGAAUACUUGGUGUAGCAGUGAAAUGCGUAGAUAUCAAGUGGAACACCAGUGGCGAAGGCGAGUCUCUGGACAUUUCCUGACGCUGAGGCACGAAAGCCAGGGGAGCAAACGGG